Molecule: ribosomal RNA, 288 nt
Filed under: uncultured Aquabacterium sp.
Lineage: Bacteria; Pseudomonadati; Pseudomonadota; Betaproteobacteria; Burkholderiales; Sphaerotilaceae
Description: partial 16S ribosomal RNA
Rfam family: Bacterial small subunit ribosomal RNA
Source: RNAcentral
GCAACGAGCGCAACCCUUGUCAUUAGUUGCUACCGCAAGGAGCACUCUAACGAGACUGCCGGUGACAAACCGGAGGAAGGUGGGGAUGACGUCAGGUCCUCAUGGCCCUUAUGGGUAGGGCUACACACGUCAUACAAUGGCCGGUACAGAGGGCUGCCAACCCGCGAGGGGAGCCAAUCCCAGAAAACCGGUCGUAGUCCGGAUCGUAGUCUGCAACUCGACUGCGUGAAGUCGGAGUCGCUAGUAAUCGCGGAUCAGCUUGCCGCGGUGAAUACGUUCCCGGGUCUU